Molecule: ribosomal RNA, 279 nt
Filed under: uncultured bacterium
Lineage: Bacteria
Description: partial 16S ribosomal RNA
Rfam family: Bacterial small subunit ribosomal RNA
Source: RNAcentral
UGCCAGCAGCCGCGGUAAUACGAAGGGACCUAGCGUAGUUCGGAAUUACUGGGCUUAAAGAGUUCGUAGGUGGUUGAAAAAGUUAGUGGUGAAAUCCCAGAGCUUAACUCUGUAACUGCCAUUAAAACUUUUUAGCUGGGGUAUGAUAGAGGAAAGUGGAAUUUCUAGUGUAGAGGUGAAAUUCGUAGAUAUUAGAAAGAAUACCAAUUGCGAAGGCAGCUUUCUGGAUCAUUACUGACACUGAGGAACGAAAGCAUGGGUAGCGAAGAGGAUUAGAUA